Molecule: ribosomal RNA, 1343 nt
Filed under: uncultured bacterium
Lineage: Bacteria
Description: 16S ribosomal RNA
Rfam family: Bacterial small subunit ribosomal RNA
Source: RNAcentral
GACGAACGCUGGCGGCGUGCUUAACACAUGCAAGUCGAACGGAAAGGCCCUGCUUUUGUGGGGUGCUCGAGUGGCGAACGGGUGAGUAACACGUGAGUAACCUGCCCUUGACUUUGGGAUAACUUCAGGAAACUGGGGCUAAUACCGGAUAGGAGCUCCUGCUGCAUGGUGGGGGUUGGAAAGUUUCGGCGGUUGGGGAUGGACUCGCGGCUUAUCAGCUUGUUGGUGGGGUAGUGGCUUACCAAGGCUUUGACGGGUAGCCGGCCUGAGAGGGUGACCGGCCACAUUGGGACUGAGAUACGGCCCAGACUCCUACGGGAGGCAGCAGUGGGGAAUAUUGCACAAUGGGCGGAAGCCUGAUGCAGCAACGCCGCGUGCGGGAUGACGGCCUUCGGGUUGUAAACCGCUUUCGCCUGUGACGAAGCGUGAGUGACGGUAAUGGGUAAAGAAGCACCGGCUAACUACGUGCCAGCAGCCGCGGUGAUACGUAGGGUGCGAGCGUUGUCCGGAUUUAUUGGGCGUAAAGGGCUCGUAGGUGGUUGAUCGCGUCGGAAGUGUAAUCUUGGGGCUUAACCCUGAGCGUGCUUUCGAUACGGGUUGACUUGAGGAAGGUAGGGGAGAAUGGAAUUCCUGGUGGAGCGGUGGAAUGCGCAGAUAUCAGGAGGAACACCAGUGGCGAAGGCGGUUCUCUGGGCCUUUCCUGACGCUGAGGAGCGAAAGCGUGGGGAGCGAACAGGCUUAGAUACCCUGGUAGUCCACGCUGUAAACGGUGGGUACUAGGUGUGGGGUCCAUUCCACGGGUUCCGUGCCGUAGCUAACGCUUUAAGUACCCCGCCUGGGGAGUACGGCCGCAAGGCUAAAACUCAAAGGAAUUGACGGGGCCCCGCACAAGCGGCGGAGCAUGCGGAUUAAUUCGAUGCAACGCGUAGAACCUUACCUGGGUUUGACAUGGAUCGGGAGUGCUCAGAGAUGGGUGUGCCUCUUUUGGGGUCGGUUCGCAGGUGGUGCAUGGCUGUCGUCAGCUCGUGUCGUGAGAUGUUGGGUUAAGUCCCGCAACGAGCGCAACCCUUGUUCACUGUUGCCAGCACGUUAUGGUGGGGACUCAGUGGAGACCGCCGGGGUCAACUCGGAGGAAGGUGGGGAUGACGUCAAGUCAUCAUGCCCCUUAUGUCCAGGGCUUCACGCAUGCUACAAUGGCUGGUACAGAGAGUGGCGAGCCUGUGAGGGUGAGCGAAUCUCGAAAAGCCGGUCUCAGUUCGGAUUGGGGUCUGCAACUCGACCUCAUGAAGUCGGAGUCGCUAGUAAUCGCAGAUCAGCAACGCUGCGGUGAAUACGUUCCCGGG